Molecule: transfer RNA, 82 nt
Filed under: Candidatus Shapirobacteria bacterium CG_4_10_14_3_um_filter_35_13
Lineage: Bacteria; Candidatus Shapironibacteriota
Also listed under: 5 other names
Description: tRNA-Leu
Rfam family: tRNA
About the family: Transfer RNA (tRNA) molecules are approximately 80 nucleotides in length. Their secondary structure includes four short double-helical elements and three loops (D, anti-codon, and T loops). Further hydrogen bonds mediate the characteristic L-shaped molecular structure. tRNAs have two regions of fundamental functional importance: the anti-codon, which is responsible for specific mRNA codon recognition, and the 3' end, to which the tRNAs corresponding amino acid is attached (by aminoacyl-tRNA synthetases). tRNAs cope with the degeneracy of the genetic code in two manners: having more than one tRNA (with a specific anti-codon) for a particular amino acid; and 'wobble' base-pairing, i.e. permitting non-standard base-pairing at the 3rd anti-codon position.
Source: RNAcentral
GCCGCUGUGGUGAAAUUGGUAUACACGUAAGUUUUAGGAACUUAUGGAGCAAUCCGUGGGGGUUCAAGUCCCUCCAGCGGCA